Molecule: long non-coding RNA, 510 nt
Organism: Gallus gallus (chicken)
Lineage: Eukaryota; Metazoa; Chordata; Aves; Galliformes; Phasianidae
Source: Ensembl
AGAAAUGGUAGGGAUGGGAUGUAUGAGGGACAAAGAAAAAAAAAGUCAAAAAGAAGAAUGGAAAAGGAAAAAAAAAAUAGUCACGGCAAGAAAAUCUGUACGUAGAACAUCACUAUGGGGCCAGAAGGCUGAUUCAAGCCAUCCUUUCACUACUGAUCUGGAAUACAGCUUUAGAUGUAUCUUAAGUAUCAGAAGACACAGAGAGCUGACUCUGAAGAGCGCUGACCCGCUACCUCUCUUGUCCCUGAAGAGAAUAAGCAAAUACGUGUUUUGGAGCUAUUUUACACCGAUGUCCAUUACGUUACACAUUGCUGGGAAGGAUGGGAAACAGCAGAAAAGAGGAUUUUUCCACGUCCUGCCUACCUCUUUCACACUUGAAUUCUCUCUGAUUUUGCUCAUUGUUUUAGACAGGUUCCUGAGAUCCAUGGGCUAUUCUUUUUACACUUCCUGAUCUCACACAGACUGUCAUUUAAUCUUGUAAAGUGUUUUGAAACACUGCUCAUAUAAAAG